RNAcentral lists this long non-coding RNA (241 nucleotides) under Solanum tuberosum (potato). RNAcentral's name for it is "long non-coding RNA (STUB_LNC002170)". Lineage: Eukaryota; Viridiplantae; Streptophyta; Magnoliopsida; Solanales; Solanaceae. The record is from RNAcentral.
GAAAAAUUACUUAAAUACACAACACUUCUUUACCUAUUCUCAAUAUUUCCCUACUCUUUUACUAAAAUACAAAAAUCCCUUAUUUCCCCCCAAUUCAACUUAACCGGAUACUUAAUUAGAUAAAGUAUCCGCCCGUUAUUAAUUAAAGUAUCCGUGCUGCUAUAUUAUGCAUCCGCCCAUUAAUUUAAGUAUCCGCCCGUUAUAAAUUAAAGUAUCCCGUUAUUAAUUAAAGUAUCCGCAC